UAAUGGCCACAGUCUUUACUGUUUCAAUCUCCUCAUAGUUUCUGAAGCUAUAUAAAAUCCCCAAAUAGACUAGUAAGUGGAAUGAAUAUGACAAUACAUCAUGCUACUGAAGGGGUCAAGUUAUGUAGGCAGCAAGUGAUAGUGCAGUCUGUCAUGGGUGGGAAUAUUCUAGAAAUAAUUGUAUGUGUUUAUUUAUGUCUCUGAUGUGAUAACCUGAUCGAGUCUGUGUGUGCGUGGUAGGGGCAGUUAUGCUGUCAAAUACAGUAACUCACCAGUUUUGGUUUAUUUUGUUCUUCAUUAGUAGCGCAGGCAAUUUUAUUUAUAGUGGUAUGCAUAUUAUGGCCCAUAUCACCACUCAAUCGCAUCUUUAGUGUAACCACAUAGAACCUGGGUAUCAUAUAGUGACAUGUAGGUAACUGUAAACCACUCGACAAAUGGCAGUUUCAAGGCAAUACGUUAUGGGGUUCGAACCUAUACGCGCGGACGUCUGCCUGUGCCCGAUCCCACGCUCACCACCAUAUCCACUAUGCCACCGCUUCCUCCUGAUGGAUAUAUAUGUUAAAAAUAUUGAUUAAAAAUAAUCAGAUAAAGGACUUAAUUACUAUCAACACUCCCUGAGCAGAAAUGGGCGCCAACUGAAAGUAUCGUGAAUAUUAACAUGUACCACAAAUUGCAGUGCCCUAAGUGUCCUAGUACUUAAUGAGCCAACAACCAGCACAACAGUGCAUGUCUAGGCCCUCCCAGCCACGUCCCUGCAUAAGGUUGUAUAGCCUAAGCCUACACAGAAACAUUCACUUAGUUCAUCCCACAUCCUCAGCAACAGCAUCAUCAUUGAUCAUCUUUUUACGGAGAAGCAUUUCAGUGUGCCAAAAGGCAGGCUGGCGCACAUAUAGAUAUUGAAACGGUGGAAACCUGAAUUAAACUGUAGUAAAGUAGUAUAUUAUGUAUAAACACUGUUCGAAGCUUUGUGUAUCCGAGUUCGUAACAAGUUAAUCCACAGUUCGCACGUACAGUACACCGCCAGGCGCAAGCCAAUCUUCGUCACUCCUCACUCUUCAGUCCUCACCUCAUCACGCCUCCAGAGACGCCUCACCACUUACGUAGCGACAUGGUUUCCCCAAGCAUGAAGAAAAAAAAGAAAUAAAGAAGAUGCAGUAACCAUGCAUAUCUUUGGUGUCCUAAAGGUGAUCAAGACAUUGUGGUACUGUACAUGUAAAUGUAGGUGUUUUGUGAAGCUGACAAGAUCAGUAACCAUUGGUCAUGAAGGAAAUCACUACAUAAAAGCAAACUUGGAC
This is a long non-coding RNA of Portunus trituberculatus (swimming crab), 1295 nucleotides long. RefSeq lists it as uncharacterized. The transcript is spliced from 3 exons. Lineage: Eukaryota; Metazoa; Arthropoda; Malacostraca; Decapoda; Portunidae. The record is from RefSeq and is a predicted model, not a curated record.